Long non-coding RNA from Gallus gallus (chicken), 1113 nucleotides. RefSeq lists it as uncharacterized. The record is from RefSeq and is a predicted model, not a curated record. The transcript has 3 exons. NCBI's taxonomy places the organism in Eukaryota, Metazoa, Chordata, Aves, Galliformes, Phasianidae.
CCAAACCUUUAAAAUUCAGGGCUAGGUCCAAGGUUCCUUGCUCACUGUGCAGAUAUCACGCUGUCUUUAGCAGCUCUGCUUGCAGAUCAAAACCAUACAGAGUGUGUCAGAAGGGGAAAUCUGGACUCUUUGCUUUGUUUUAAUUUACUGUUAUCCUGGUACUUCCCCAACCCUUUACCCAGGAGCAGAGCUUCACUGGGUGAGACUAGUCCUGAAAAAAAGAACCAGUUAUGGAGGAAAAGCACAGCCUGUGCUCACAUAGCAACCCCGUGCCAGGGGGAAAAUCAGGGCUCUGGUCUCACAAUGUGAGUCAGCUGCUUCCCCCCGCCUGCCCCCCGGGAUGAGUAAUUCAGCCGUGAUAACCUUUAACGAGUUGCAGGCACUGUUACAGCUCUGUAUCCAAGCUCAUCUGUGUGCUUUAUUAGCACAGCCCAGGAUGGAGAUGAAGCAUCCUUAUAGGCAGCACGGAGGUGAAAGUGGGAGGGCAAAGAAGAUCUUCAAGAAGUGCAUCCACCUGGAUGUGAUGGGAGAAAUGAAGGUGACUGCAAGGGUCUGACACGUAGGUGCAUGUUCACCCCAAGAAAUUUAGCAGCUGUACAGGGAUGGAUACAGCCAGAAGUGUGAACAGUGGGUGGGAGAGCUCAGCCAGGGGGCCCUGCUCCAUCAGGGCUUCCAGCAUGUGCUAUGUGUUCCCACCUUGGAUUUCCCUGCUGAUGAAGAGACAUAAACCAGUGCUGUGCUUGCAGAUUGGAUUCCUGGACCACGCGCCCUUGCUGGGAAGCAGCACAUUGGUGGGCUGCAGCCAGGUCAGGAAUGCGGUGAGCCCUGGGAAGGAGAAGUUUUCUUGGGGCCAGAACGGUGCAAUGCCACUGCUGGGAUAAUCCAUUUCCUCCAGGCUGCUGACUUGAAGAUGUCAAGGAUUUGGGUAAAAAUAGAAAAGAGAAGAAUGACAUCCUGGAUGAGGGGGAAGCGGGAAAGCACCAAGCAAAGCCCAGCACCAGCCUUUUAGUACCUAAAGGGAGGCUGUAAGAAAGAAAGGGAAAGACUCUUUAGCAGAGUCUGCUGGGAUAGGCCAAGGGGAAAUGGUUUCAAAUGAAAAGAGGGGAGAUUUAG